RNAcentral lists this ribosomal RNA (361 nucleotides) under uncultured bacterium. RNAcentral describes it as "bacterial SSU rRNA". It matches the Rfam family "Bacterial small subunit ribosomal RNA", at positions 46 to 392 of the family's 1533-position model. The record is from RNAcentral.
GCCUAAUACAUGCAAGUCGAGCGGAGAUGUUGGAGCUUGCUCCAACAUCUUAGCGGCGGACGGUGAGUAACACGUGGGCAACCUGCCCUGCAGAUCGGGAUAACUCCGGGAAACCGGUGCUAAUACCGAAUAGUUUGCGGCCUCUCCUGAGGCUGCACGGAAAGACGGUUUCGGCUGUCACUGCAGGAUGGGCCCGCGGCGCAUUAGCUAGUUGGUGGGGUAAUGGCCCACCAAGGCGACGAUGCGUAGCCGACCUGAGAGGGUGAUCGGCCACACUGGGACUGAGACGUCGACGCGGCCCAGACUCCUACGGGAGGCAGCAGUAGGGAAUCUUCGGCAAUGGACGGAAGUCUGACCGAGC